CCAUGUAAGUUCUAACAUUAAUAAUUAUUCAGUCCCUCCCCAUGAUUAACUCAUGCUUACUCUUCCACUCAUGACAGCCUGCACACUUCAUAUUAUAUUUAUUUAUUUAUUUAUUUAUUUGUGGUGUUUUAACACCACUUUUAAGCACCGCAUUUAGGCUAUUUCGUAGCGGCUGUUUUUAUUGGUGGAGGCAGCCAGAGUGCCUGGAGAAAACCACCGACCUUCAUAUUAUAAAAAUGUGUCACAAAUUGACACUCUCAGGAUGAGAGAGCCACUGAGUUGGAAGCUUAAUGUUAUUAAGCUAGAUAGAUCCUGAGCUUAUUCUGAAUGGUUAAUUGAGAAUAUUUUUCAUGACAAAGUCUAUGUACAGCAAUCCUAGAGCAAUGGAAUAUAACGACUAUAAAUUUCUCUUAAAUUUAUUGAUUCUAUCCAAACUUGCGUAUAUAUAUGUGGGCAGAUACAUGUAUAUCUACAUGUUAUUGUAUUUUAACCAAAGUCUGAACAGUAGUGGGGUAAAAAAUAUUUUCUUUACCCAAGGGCUGAAAUUGGUUCAGUGUAGGUCAAGCACAGCAAAGAUUAGAGAGUAUCUGGAGUUACCAGAAAUCCUGAUAUUUGUUUAAGGAUUGUCAUAAAAACCGCGAUAAUUUAUCUGAUCAACUACAAAUCAGUCAGACAGAAAAUUGUAAGGGAAACCAAUUAUCUGAAAAAUAACCUUUUCCUUAUGAUUUCAAAGAACUUGACAAGUAAAAGUUUAAAUUAUACCAUAGUUAUGGAUUAAACAAAUGAUUGCGGCCAGAUAAAAAUAAUGUUAGGCUCUUAGGAUCAGAUAAUUUUGCUUACUUGACAUUUAAACCAAUGAGUGGCCAAUAUUUGUCUUCCCUACAGCAUAAUUUCGGACUGGUCUGAAAUCUAAAUAAAAGCUUACACAAUCAAAUGGCAAAUUAGAAUUGUUGGUUAAAAACAGGGUAGAAAACUGUAAAGGACAAUGGUGGUAAAAUGUAUGUCAGCCAGGUCAAAACAUAGU
Molecule: long non-coding RNA, 1024 nt
Filed under: Mytilus galloprovincialis (Mediterranean mussel)
Lineage: Eukaryota; Metazoa; Mollusca; Bivalvia; Mytilida; Mytilidae
Source: RNAcentral